RNAcentral lists this ribosomal RNA (617 nucleotides) under Leptographium sinoprocerum. RNAcentral's name for it is "eukaryotic LSU rRNA". It matches the Rfam family "Eukaryotic large subunit ribosomal RNA", at positions 1 to 637 of the family's 3401-position model. Lineage: Eukaryota; Fungi; Ascomycota; Sordariomycetes; Ophiostomatales; Ophiostomataceae. The record is from RNAcentral.
UUGACCUCGGAUCAGGUAGGACUACCCGCUGAACUUAAGCAUAUCAAUAAGCGGAGGAAAAGAAACCAACAGGGAUUGCCCCAGUAACGGCGAGUGAAGCGGCAACAGCUCAGAUUUGGAAUCUGGCCCCCAGGGCCCGAGUUGUAAUCUGGAGAGGAUGCUUCUGGCGCGGCGCCUUCCGAGUUCCCUGGAACGGGACGCCGGAGAGGGUGAGAGCCCCGUACGGUUGGACGCCUAGCCUUUGUGAAGCUCCUUCGACGAGUCGAGUAGUUUGGGAAUGCUGCUCAAAAUGGGAGGUAAAUUUCUUCUAAAGCUAAAUACCGGCCAGAGACCGAUAGCGCACAAGUAGAGUGAUCGAAAGAUGAAAAGCACUUUGAAAAGAGGGUCAAACAGUACGUGAAAUUGUUGAAAGGGAAGCGCCCGUGGCCAGACUUGUGCCCCGCGGACCACCCGGCGCCCUCAGCGCCGGUGCACUCCGCGGGGCGCAGGCCAGCAUCGGUUUUCCUAGGGGGAUAAAGGCGGCGGGAACGUGGCUCCUUCGGGAGUGUUAUAGCCCGUCGUGCCAUGCCCCUGGGGGGACCGAGGACCGCGCUUCGGCAAGGAUGCUGGCGUAAUGG